This 586-nucleotide ribosomal RNA is filed under the name uncultured bacterium. RNAcentral describes it as "partial 16S ribosomal RNA". It matches the Rfam family "Bacterial small subunit ribosomal RNA", at positions 355 to 937 of the family's 1533-position model. The record is from RNAcentral.
UGGGGAAUAUUGGACAAUGGGCGCAAGCCUGAUCCAGCAAUGCCGCGUGUGUGAAGAAGGCCUUCGGGUUGUAAAGCACUUUUAUCAGGAGCGAAACGCUGUCGGCUAAUACCCGGCGGAACUGACGGUACCUGAGGAAUAAGCACCGGCUAACUUCGUGCCAGCAGCCGCGGUAAUACGAAGGGUGCAAGCGUUAAUCGGAAUUACUGGGCGUAAAGCGUGCGUAGGCGGUUUCUUAAGUCUGCUGUGAAAUCCCCGGGCUCAACCUGGGAAUGGCAGUGGAUACUGGGAGGCUAGAGUGUGUCAGAGGGUGGUGGAAUUCCCGGUGUAGCGGUGAAAUGCGUAGAGAUCGGGAGGAACAUCAGUGGCGAAGGCGGCCACCUGGGACAACACUGACGCUGAGGCACGAAAGCGUGGGGAGCAAACAGGAUUAGAUACCCUGGUAGUCCACGCCCUAAACGAUGCGAACUGGAUGUUGGUCUCAACUCGGAGAUCAGUGUCGAAGCUAACGCGUUAAGUUCGCCGCCUGGGGAGUACGGUCGCAAGACUGAAACUUAAAUGAAUUGACGGGGUCAUAGCUGUUUCC